This 466-nucleotide long non-coding RNA is filed under the name Physcomitrium patens. Its description in RNAcentral is "long non-coding RNA (PPAT_LNC010105)". The record is from RNAcentral. Lineage: Eukaryota; Viridiplantae; Streptophyta; Bryopsida; Funariales; Funariaceae.
AGUGUGAGCCGGGGUAAGCUUGGUGCUACUUCUUUUCUUUUGUUUGUUAUUUUCUUUGAAUAAGAGGAUUGAGAAUUUCUAAAUAUUGUGAAGUGAAUUAUCGAAUGGAAAUGUGAUUGGUAUUAUUUGAGAAGAAGAAAGAUUGAAUGUUGAAAUCUGAUUGUGGUUCAGCAGAGAGAAUGAGUCUGUGUUUGUGUGAAACACUGUAAUGUGAAUGGCAGUUCUGUGUGAAGAAUUCUAGUGAUUAGAACAAGGGUAAUUGUGUACUGAAAGCUGUGAAGGCAUAGUAUUACAGUUGGAGAUUAUGAGGGUGAAUAUAUUGGUGGAAAUAGCAGUUAUUGGUAUGACUGAAUUGCUAUAAGGAAGAGACCGAUAAGGUGAAAGAGGAGAUUAUAGUUUCCUUAUGUGUUCAGAUAUUGGAAAUAGAGACGAUACAUUCAGGAGGUAAUUGAUUGUGUGACCCUAA